UACGAAGGGGGCUAGCGUUGUUCGGAUUUACUGGGCGUAAAGCGCACGUAGGCGGAUCGUUAAGUCGGGGGUGAAAUCCUGGAGCUCAACUCCAGAACUGCCUUCGAUACUGGCGAUCUCGAGUCCGGAAGAGGUGAGUGGAACUCCUAGUGUAGAGGUGGAACUCGUAGAUAUUAGGAAGAACACCAGUGGCGAAGGCGACUCACUGGUCCGGUACUGACGCUGAGGUGCGAAAGCGUGGGGAGCAAACAGG
RNAcentral lists this ribosomal RNA (253 nucleotides) under uncultured bacterium. RNAcentral describes it as "partial 16S ribosomal RNA". It matches the Rfam family "Bacterial small subunit ribosomal RNA", at positions 524 to 776 of the family's 1533-position model. The record is from RNAcentral.